RNAcentral lists this ribosomal RNA (460 nucleotides) under uncultured bacterium. RNAcentral describes it as "partial 16S ribosomal RNA". It matches the Rfam family "Bacterial small subunit ribosomal RNA", at positions 338 to 795 of the family's 1533-position model. The record is from RNAcentral.
UCUACGGGUGGCAGCAGUGAGGAAUAUUGGUCAAUGGGCGCGAGCCUGAACCAGCCAAGUAGCGUGAAGGAUGACUGCCCUACGGGUUGUAAACUUCUUUUAUAAAGGAAUAAAGUGAGGCACGUGUGCCUUUUUGUAUGUACUUUAUGAAUAAGGAUCGGCUAACUCCGUGCACGCAGCCGCGGUAAUACGGAGGAUCAGAGCGUUAGCCGGAUUUAUUGGGUUUAAAGGGAGCGUAGAUGGGUUGUUAAGGUCGUGGUGAAAGUUUGCGGCUCAAACGUAAAAUUGCAAUUGAUACUGGCAGCCUUGAGUACAGUUGAGGUAGGCGGAAUUCGUGGUGUAGCGGUGAAAUGCUGAGAUAUCACGAAGAACUCCGAUUGCGAAGGCAGCUUACUAAACUGCCACUGACAUUGAUGCUCGAAAGUGUGGGUAUCAAACAGGAUUAGAUACCCCAGUAGUC